CAUGAUGGACAUGAUAUAAUGAAACAACAUUGUGGAGAGGAAAGCAUUAGGGGAGCCCACGGCUACAAAAACAAGUGAGUGAGAAGAGGUGGGAGAAAAAGAAACUACGCCACCUCCCCUGCGGCCGAGCGCACGCAGCAGCCCGGCGUGACAAGUGGGCGACGCCAGGGGCAGGGAGUGGGGGGUCCUCGGCCCACCCCGGGGACCCUGUUGCCCACCGUGCGCAGAGCAACUUUUAACCGGCAGACCCGCACCUGUCUCCGAGUCCCCAUCGCUCCCCGCGACCAUCCUGGGAAAAUUCUAGAAGAAUACGCUCUCGGAAUCUACGUGCGCAUCAUUUUCCUCCUCGCUCCGGGAGGAAGGAACCAGAAAGCCAGCAGAGCGGCGUCACGUUCAGACCAUCGAACCGCCAUGCAUCCCAGGGAUGGUGUCCUUUACUGGAGGAUUUCUGCCUCACUUAACUUUCCGGAGUCUUUUAACUGCCUUCUGUUGCUGCCUAGGGUAGAGGACUUGAGCCAGCAAGAGUCCGCAGUGUCUCUGCCUCCUGACCUGCCCUUGCCGAAUACUGGUUUACAGGAGAAUUUGAGCCCA
Molecule: long non-coding RNA, 591 nt
Organism: Onychomys torridus (southern grasshopper mouse)
Lineage: Eukaryota; Metazoa; Chordata; Mammalia; Rodentia; Cricetidae
Exons: 3
Source: RefSeq, a predicted model, not a curated record